Molecule: long non-coding RNA, 447 nt
Filed under: Oryza brachyantha (malo sina)
Lineage: Eukaryota; Viridiplantae; Streptophyta; Magnoliopsida; Poales; Poaceae
Description: long non-coding RNA (OBRA_LNC000850)
Source: RNAcentral
AGCAACUCGUGUCAAAUAUCUAAUUAAUCACAAGCCCCCAAUCAGUGUACCCUCCAACGUGGAAAACGACUGCUCCCUUUCGUGUCAGAUCCCAAUGCUUUUAUAAUGCCAGAUGCACGUGAUCCCCUACGGUACGUACGUACGCGCACAGCCAGCCACUCGCUGAAAUGUCAGUCCUAUCCAGACGGAUAGCAGCGUAGCAUGUAUGCAGAUCAGAUUUUCAAUCACAAGUGGUUGCUUUCGUUAAUCAGAACUUCCAUCUCAUCGAAGCCGUGUUGCAAAGUACCUAUUUUAGACUCUUCAGAUGCUCUUCUUCAGAGUUAAGGCUCUCUGUAGCUACUUCAGCUGAUGAUCUCUUUGAUAAGGUGACAAGCAAGAUGCAGCCAUGACCUGAAAGAGGAAAAUAGUUCAGCUAUUAGUAACAUUGUAAGCUAUAAUAGGAGGGGU